GAUGAACGCUGGCGGCGUGCCUAAUACAUGCAAGUCGAGCGAACGGACGAGAAGCUUGCUUCUCUGAUGUUAGCGGCGGACGGGUGAGUAACACGUGGAUAACCUACCUAUAAGACUGGGAUAACUUCGGGAAACCGGAGCUAAUACCGGAUAAUAUUUUGAACCGCAUGGUUCAAAAGUGAAAGACGGUCUUGCUGCCACUUAUAGAUGGAUCCGCGCUGCAUUAGCUAGUUGGUAAGGUAACGGCUUACCAAGGAAACGAUGCAUAGCCGACCUGAGAGGGUGAUCGGCCACACUGGAACUGAGACACGGUCCAGACUCCUACGGGAGGCAGCAGUAGGGAAUCUUCCGCAAUGGGCGAAAGCCUGACGGAGCAACGCCGCGUGAGUGAUGAAGGUCUUCGGAUCGUAAAACUCUGUUAUUAGGGAAGAACAUAUGUGUAAGUAACUGUGCACAUCUUGACGGUACCUAAUCAGAAAGCCACGGCUAACUACGUG
Molecule: ribosomal RNA, 497 nt
Filed under: uncultured bacterium
Lineage: Bacteria
Description: partial 16S ribosomal RNA
Rfam family: Bacterial small subunit ribosomal RNA
Source: RNAcentral